This 722-nucleotide ribosomal RNA is filed under the name uncultured bacterium. RNAcentral's name for it is "bacterial SSU rRNA". It matches the Rfam family "Bacterial small subunit ribosomal RNA", at positions 134 to 851 of the family's 1533-position model. The record is from RNAcentral.
UGGAGGGGGAUAACUACUGGAAACGGUAGCUAAUACCGCAUAACGUCGCAAGACCAAAGAGGGGGACCUUCGGGCCUCUUGCCAUCGGAUGUGCCCAGAUGGGAUUAGCUAGUAGGUGGGGUAACGGCUCACCUAGGCGACGAUCCCUAGCUGGUCUGAGAGGAUGACCAGCCACACUGGAACUGAGACACGGUCCAGACUCCUACGGGAGGCAGCAGUGGGGAAUAUUGCACAAUGGGCGCAAGCCUGAUGCAGCCAUGCCGCGUGUAUGAAGAAGGCCUUCGGGUUGUAAAGUACUUUCAGCGAGGAGGAAGGCAUUGUGGUUAAUAACCGCAGUGAUUGACGUUACUCGCAGAAGAAGCACCGGCUAACUCCGUGCCAGCAGCCGCGGUAAUACGGAGGGUGCAAGCGUUAAUCGGAAUUACUGGGCGUAAAGCGCACGCAGGCGGUCUGUCAAGUCGGAUGUGAAAUCCCCGGGCUCAACCUGGGAACUGCAUCCGAAACUGGCAGGCUAGAGUCUUGUAGAGGGGGGUAGAAUUCCAGGUGUAGCGGUGAAAUGCGUAGAGAUCUGGAGGAAUACCGGUGGCGAAGGCGGCCCCCUGGACAAAGACUGACGCUCAGGUGCGAAAGCGUGGGGAGCAAGCAGGAUUAGAUACCCUGGUAGUCCACGCCGUAAACGAUGUCGACUUGGAGGUUGUGCCCUUGAGGCGUGGCUUCCGGAG